Molecule: ribosomal RNA, 602 nt
Filed under: uncultured bacterium
Lineage: Bacteria
Description: bacterial SSU rRNA
Rfam family: Bacterial small subunit ribosomal RNA
Source: RNAcentral
GCAGUCGAGGGGUAUAUUUCUUCGGAGAUAGAGACCGGCGCACGGGUGCGUAACGCGUAUGCAAUCUACCUUUCACAGAGGGAUAGCCCAGAGAAAUUUGGAUUAAUACCUCAUAGUAUAGCUCUACCGCAUGGUAGUACUAUUAAAGUCACAACGGUAAAAGAUGAGCAUGCGUCCCAUUAGCUAGUUGGUAAGGUAACGGCUUACCAAGGCUACGAUGGGUAGGGGUCCUGAGAGGGAGAUCCCCCACACUGGUACUGAGACACGGACCAGACUCCUACGGGAGGCAGCAGUGAGGAAUAUUGGACAAUGGGCGCAAGCCUGAUCCAGCCAUGCCGCGUGCAGGAUGACGGUCCUAUGGAUUGUAAACUGCUUUUAUACGAGAAGAAACACUGCUUCGUGAAGCAGCUUGACGGUAUCGUAAGAAUAAGGAUCGGCUAACUCCGUGCCAGCAGCCGCGGUAAUACGGAGGAUCCAAGCGUUAUCCGGAAUCAUUGGGUUUAAAGGGUCCGUAAGCGGUUUAAUAAGUCAGUGGUGAAAGCCCAUCGCUCCACGGUGGAACGGCCAUUGAUACUGGUAAACUUGAAUUAUUAAGAAGUAAC